GUAAAGAGCUCGUAGGUGGUUUGUCGCGUUGUUCGUGAAAUCUCACGGCUUAACUGUGAGCGUGCGGGCGAUACGGGCAGACUUGAGUACUGCAGGGGAGACUGGAAUUCCUGGUGUAGCGGUGGAAUGCGCAGAUAUCAGGAGGAACACCGGUGGCGAAGGCGGGUCUCUGGGCAGUAACUGACGCUGAGGAGCGAAAGCGUGGGGAGCGAACAGGAUUAGAUACCCUGGUAGUCCACGCCGUAAACGGUGGGUACUAGGUGUGGGUUUCCUUCCUUGGGAUCCGUGCCGUAGCUAACGCAUUAAGUACCCCGCCUGGGGAGUACGGCCGCAAGGCUAAAACUCAAAGAAAUUGACGGGGGCCCGCACAAGCGGCGGAGCAUGUGGAUUAAUUCGAUGCAACGCGAAGAACCUUACCUGGGUUUGACAUGCACAGGACGCCGGCAGAGAUGUCGGUUCCCUUGUGGCCUGUGUGCAGGUGGUGCAUGGCUGUCGUCAGCUCGUGUCGUGAGAUGUUGGGUUAAGUCCCGCAACGAGCGCAACCCUUGUCUCAUGUUGCCAGCGGGUAAUGCCGGGGACUCGUGAGAGACUGCCGGGGUCAACUCGGAGGAAGGUGGGGAUGACGUCAAGUCAUCAUGCCCCUUAUGUCCAGGGCUUCACACAUGCUACAAUGGCCGGUACAAAGGGCUGCGAUGCCGCGAGGUUAAGCGAAUCCUUUUAAAGCCGGUCUCAGUUCGGAUCGGGGUCUGCAACUCGACCCCGUGAAGUCGGAGUCGCUAGUAAUCGCAGA
Molecule: ribosomal RNA, 790 nt
Filed under: uncultured bacterium
Lineage: Bacteria
Description: bacterial SSU rRNA
Rfam family: Bacterial small subunit ribosomal RNA
Source: RNAcentral